AUACGGAGGGUCCGAGCGUUAUCCGGAAUCACUGGGCGUAAAGCGCGCGCAGGCGGCUUGAUAAGUUGGAUGUGAAAGCCUACGGCUCAACCGUAGAACUGCAUCCAAAACUGUCAGGCUAGAGUGUGGGAGAGGAAGAUGGAAUUAGUUGUGUAGGGGUAAAAUCCGUAGAGAUAACUAGGAAUACCAAAAGCGAAGGCAAUCUUCUGGAACACUACUGACGCUGAGGCGCGAAGGCGUGGGGAGCAAACAGGAUUAGAAACCCCAGUAGUCC
RNAcentral lists this ribosomal RNA (274 nucleotides) under uncultured bacterium. RNAcentral describes it as "partial 16S ribosomal RNA". It matches the Rfam family "Bacterial small subunit ribosomal RNA", at positions 523 to 796 of the family's 1533-position model. The record is from RNAcentral.